AUGCACGCUGGCGGCGUGCCUCAUACAUGCCAGUCGCGCGAACAGAUAAGGAGCUUGCUCCCUUGACGUUAGCGGCGGACGGGUGAGUAACACGUGGGUAACCUACCUAUAAGACUGGGAUAACUUCGGGAAACCGGAGCUAAUACCGGAUAACAUUUGGAACCGCAUGGUUCUAAAGUGAAAGAUGGUUUUGCUAUCACUUAUAGAUGGACCCGCGCCGUAUUAGCUAGUUGGUAAGGUAACGGCUUACCAAGGCAACGAUACGUAGCCGACCUGAGAGGGUGAUCGGCCACACUGGAACUGAGACACGGUCCAGACUCCUACGGGAGGCAGCAGUAGGGAAUCUUCCGCAAUGGGCGAAAGCCUGACGGAGCAACGCCGCGUGAGUGAUGAAGGGUUUCGGCUCGUAAAACUCUGUUAUUAGGGAAGAACAAACGUGUAAGUAACUGUGCACGUCUUGACGGUACCUAAUCAGAAAGCCACGGCUAACUACGUG
RNAcentral lists this ribosomal RNA (496 nucleotides) under uncultured bacterium. RNAcentral describes it as "partial 16S ribosomal RNA". It matches the Rfam family "Bacterial small subunit ribosomal RNA", at positions 29 to 507 of the family's 1533-position model. The record is from RNAcentral.